RNAcentral lists this ribosomal RNA (477 nucleotides) under Triticum aestivum (bread wheat). RNAcentral describes it as "partial small subunit ribosomal RNA". The record is from RNAcentral. Lineage: Eukaryota; Viridiplantae; Streptophyta; Magnoliopsida; Poales; Poaceae.
UUGUCUUUAUGGUUCGAGCUCCUAGAAAUUGCUAGCUCUAUCCAGCUUACAGACGAUGAUGACUCGCUAGUUUGGAAUAUGAAUUCCAAAGGGGUUUACACUGUUAAAUCUUUUUAUAAAUUUAUUAAUUUCAGGGGGGUGCUACCUGUCAACUCCCCUGCCGUUUGGAAGAUCAAGAUUCCCCGUAGAAUCCAGAUUUUUCUCUAGCUGUUAACUAACAACAAGCUGCUAACUAGAGAUAAUCUGUGCAAAAGGCAGAAUGUAGAUGAUAGUACAUGUGUCUUUUGCAAUGAACAUGAAUCUUGCUCUCAUUUAUUCAGUACUUGUAUUGUUGCUGUUGAAUUCUGGAAAGCCAUCUGUGUCCUCACUGGAGUUAAUGGUGACAUUAACAUAAUGAGCAUCUCCUCCUGCUGGAUCAGAGGAGAUAGCUUUGCUGCGAUUAAUGUUGUUCAUGCAGCUGGGCUGUGGGCUAUCUAG